This 351-nucleotide transfer-messenger RNA is filed under the name Ghiorsea sp. It matches the Rfam family "transfer-messenger RNA". Rfam says of the family: Bacterial tmRNA, also known as 10Sa RNA or SsrA, is named for its dual tRNA and mRNA-like properties. The record is from RNAcentral. Lineage: Bacteria; Pseudomonadati; Pseudomonadota; Candidatius Mariprofundia; Mariprofundales.
GGGGGCGACAUGGUUUCGACAGAGAUUCUGAACCCUUAGGUGCAUGUCGGGUAGGUACGCCCGUUACCCAGGCCAACUUGCAAUAAUUGCAAACGACGAAGUAGAACUAGCUUACGCUGCGUAAGUUACCCUGCUCUUGAGUUGUCCAUCGCUUGAGAAUCCAGGGUCAAACAGAUGGAAUCGCUAUUUGGGAAGUGGAGACUCGUGCUUGCCAAGGUUAAAUAGUAACGAGACGACCUAUUGAUUCCUUGUCCGUUAGGCUUUCAAUAGGUGCUGUUUUAACGGAAUAAACAUGUAGAGCCUCUGGCUGAUGGUUUUUGGACGUGGGUUCGAAUCCCACCGCUUCCACCA